Ailuropoda melanoleuca (giant panda) is the source of this 2294-nucleotide long non-coding RNA. RefSeq lists it as uncharacterized. NCBI's taxonomy places the organism in Eukaryota, Metazoa, Chordata, Mammalia, Carnivora, Ursidae. The transcript is spliced from 3 exons. The record is from RefSeq and is a predicted model, not a curated record.
UUCUUCUUCUGUACGGUGGGGGGAUAGAGCAGUGUUAGGAUAACUGACUUUUUUGUUGUUCUCUGGGUGCAUUCUUCUCGCUCCCCCUCUCUCCCCCUCACCCUCUCACUCCUCUCUCUCUCCCUCUCCCUCUCUCUCUCUCUCUCUUUUAAAAAAUCAGCCAUUUGGGGUUUUAAGCCAUAAACGAUUUUUCUUGUUGCAGGGGAUUGCAGUGGCAAAGCUAGGCUAGGUCUUGGAGGCUGGUGUAAGGCGAAGCGGGUGAAGGCAGGAGGCUGAUGGAGAGACUGGGGGGAAGAAAAGCCGACAUGGAUUCACGGUGUCUUGGAUGGAGGACGAGAGGGGAAUUGCAAGCUCCUUCAACUCGUUCUGUCCGGUGAGAAGUGAUCAAGCUUGGGCUGACAAGAGGCUCAGGAAGCCCUCACGUUCUUUCGCUUUUUUACCUGCCAAUCAAACUGCUACAAGACAACACCCUGAUCUGGCAUGGACAUCGCGGGUGCAAGCCUGUAGUCCCAAAUCGGAUAUCUCUGCAGCUGAUAACAAGCAAAAGAGAAGCCAGGCAACAGCCAUAUUAAAGAAGAAAACAAUCAACUCUGAGGAUGCCACCCUGAAAGUUUUAUUUUCUCCAGGAAAGUGGAGUUCUCUUUGAGAGUUCUAGCCUGUGAACUCAGUAUGUAAAUGUGGUCAUCAAGCAAGACUGGAGCCGCCAAGAGGGAAGAUUUUGAAAGUUUCUCUUUCCUAAAACCCUUCCCAGCAUUCCUUCUUCCGGGGGUGCUUUCCUCAAAGUUCUCCCCUUUCCCCAGCCCUGUUGACAGUGACCCCUGAGCAACACGGCAGUAGCUAAACCAGCUGUACUGUGAAGCUGUCGAGCUGGUAUUUCAUCUGAAUCCUUUGUAAAAAUUAGAUUUUAAGUAGGGGUGAGUGUCCUUUUGGGAGAGGGGACAAGGGUGAGGGGAAGAAGAGGGGGAGGGGAUGAGCAGUUUAUAUACAUAUAUACUCUUUGUGUUUGAAGGCCUCUGUGUCUUGGCUUCUCACUAUGUUAAAUCCCUAUUAUAAAACUUAUCUUCACAAAGCCUAUUAUAGUAUUCUGAGAACAAAUUGGACCAUGAAUAACUUAGUUGGAAGUGUAGAUUAUUUUCUACUCAGGGAAAGUUAGAGAUGACAACAGCUUAACUAAAAGAGUAGUGAUUAAUCUUAAAUAGAUGGAUUUCAAAGUUUCACUCUUGAUAGAGAGUACCUUUGAUAUUUCCCCUCUUCAGACUCAUGUUUCCACUUUCUUUGUAUUAAGAAUUGUCCUAGUGAUUACACUGUCCACCUAAUACAGCAUGACUCUGACUAUAGAUCUUUUUCUUACAGGUUGUUAAUCUGUCAGAGAGGUGAGCAGAAAGACACUUUACUUCCUAAUGAUUAAAUAUAUGGUCCCAAAGUGGUCCCUGUGCUUAGACAUCAAACUCUCUGGGAGAAAUAAUAUCUGGCAUAAAUCAAAAUUUCUCAAUUAGACAAAAAUUAUUAUUUAAAAACACCUUCAAUUUAUUUAGUGCCCUACAGCUUACAGAACACUUCUCAAUUCAUAAUUUUGUUUGAUCCUUAGAAGACUGUUAUGAUAUAAACAAAUAGCAUUAAUCUCAUUUUACCAAGGAGGAAGCUGAGUCACUCGCACGCUGUGAUCCAGCUGAUAAAUGGAAGAACUGCGAUACCAACUCAGAUUUUAUGGCUUCUGUUUUAAGUGACUAACCUGUAGCAAUAGGCAUCUAAAUUCCUUUUGUGUUUUACAUGCCCGAAAAAUCAAGAUUUUGCAUUAAGGAGCAAAGUUUUUAUAUUUCACAGAUACCGAAGUCAAAAGACCUGAUUGAAAAAAAUUCUAUUCACUUAAAAGUCAAUGUCAUGAAUUAGUGUUUUCCCUUAUGUGUUCAUGCACAUGCGUGUGUGUGUGUGUGUGUCAAUAGUCUUUCAGAGGUGAGAGUCUUAAUUUCUAAAAGCCAAACAUGGGCAGCCCUAUAUAAAUUAAUAACUGCCUGGAAUUUUUUAAAUGUCCUUGAAAACCAUUAAUUGUUUCAAAAUAGAAUGUAAGCCUUUAGAAGACUGUUUUGCCUAUAAAGUGCUCGAGAGCAUGGCAUCGAUCAAGUUCCAGAGUGUUAUAAGUGAGGUUUCCCUUUUUUUUUUUCAGCUUCACUGAGAUAAAAUUGACAAAAUCGGAAGAUAUUUAAAGUAUAUAUCUUGAUGAUUUGAUAAACAUAAACAUCAUGAAAGUAUUCCUCCUAUCUGCUUAAUUAACACAUCGAUCACUUCACGUCUUU